AAAAGUCGUAACAAGGUUUCCGUAGGUGAACCUGCGGAAGGAUCAUUAAUAAAAGGAUGCCUCCGGGCAUACCCCAUCCGUGUCUAUCUACUCUUGUUGCUUUGGCAGGCCGUGGUCUACCACUGUGGGCUCUGCCUGCAUGUGCCUGCCAGAGGACCAAACUCUGAAUGUUAGUGAUGUCUGAGUACUAUAUAAUAGUUAAAACUUUCAACAACGGAUCUCUUGGUUCUG
RNAcentral lists this unclassified non-coding RNA (231 nucleotides) under fungal sp. RNAcentral's name for it is "partial internal transcribed spacer region". The stretch from base 1 to 48 matches the Rfam family "Eukaryotic small subunit ribosomal RNA", at positions 1784 to 1831 of the family's 1831-position model. The record is from RNAcentral. Lineage: Eukaryota; Fungi.